Molecule: ribosomal RNA, 460 nt
Filed under: uncultured bacterium
Lineage: Bacteria
Description: partial 16S ribosomal RNA
Rfam family: Bacterial small subunit ribosomal RNA
Source: RNAcentral
CCUACGGGAGGCAGCAGUGAGGAAUAUUGGUCAAUGGACGAGAGUCUGAACCAGCCAAGUAGCGUGAAGGAUGACUGCCCUAUGGGUUGUAAACUUCUUUUAUAUGGGAAUAAAACGUUCCACGUGUGGGAUUUUGUAUGUACCAUAUGAAUAAGGAUCGGCUAAAUCCGUGCCAGCAGCCGCGGUAAUACGGAGGAUCCGAGCGUUAGCCGGAUUUAUUGGGUUUAAAGGGAGCGUAGGUGGACUGUUAAGUCAGUUGUGAAAGUUUGCGGCUCAACCGUAAAAUUGCAGUUGAAACUGGCAGUCUUGAGUACAGUAGAGGUGGGCGGAAUUCGUGGUGUAGCGGUGAAAUGCUUAGAUAUCACGAAGAACUCCGAUUGCGAAGGCAGUUCACUGGACUGCAACUGACACUGAGGCUCGAAAGUGUGGGUAUCAAACAGGAUUAGAUACCCCUGUAGUC